AGAGAGACCAAUACAGAUGUACCAUAAUACUAAGGCUAACCAGAGCUGCCCGUACUACUAUGACUGAAAUAGAGUUUGUGUCACAAAUCCCACCCUUUUCCUGAUAUAGUGCCCUUCUGAACAGGGCCCAUAGGGCUUUGGUCAACAGUAGUGCACCAUGCAGGGAAUAAAGUGCAGUUUGGGACGUAAACAAAUAUAUUUUGUUUCAAAACUUCCAACUGGCAUAAAAUUCCAGUAAUAAUAGCAAUUUACUGGAUGGAAAAUCUGGUUUGAAAUACAUUACAUACUAUGAUAUAAUUAUAUGCUGAACUGCUCAGUAUGAACAACUUAAUGUUUUUUGGAAUAAUUGUAAACAGAAAAAGUACUGACUUGGCGUUUUGUCUAUGAUAGCAUUUGGUCACACGUGAGUGCUACUGUAUUAAACAGCUACGGUACAGUACAGUACAGUGACUGUUCAUUACAAAUCUGUGGUCCAAAAUCUCAGCAUAAAUCCUCUACCAAUUAUUCCAUAGCUCUGUCAGCCCUCUCACGGUUCACUUAAAGUACACUGAGCAGAAAGAACAUUCCUGUCAGAGCAUCUGUUUAGUAGAGCACUACACAUCUCUAGGUUCAGACCAGAGAGAUUUAGGUUUUGACAAGAGACACAGAUGUUGAAGGUUGUAGUAGCCUGAAGGAGGGAAGGAGAAGCGAAGGAGGGAGGGAAGAAUAGUUGGAGGGAGGGAAGAAGAGUAGGAGGGAGAGAAGAAGAGUAGGAGGGAGGGAAGAAGAGUAGUAGGGAGAGAAGAAGAGAAGGAGGGAGAGAAGAAGAGUAGGAGGGAGAGAAGAAGAGUAGGAGGGAGGGAAGAAGAGUAGGAGGGAGAGAAGAAGAGUAGGAGGGAGGGAAGAAGAGUAGGAGGGAGGGAAGAUGAGUAGGAGAGAAGUAGGAGGGGGGAAGAAAAGUAGGAGGGAGAGAAGAAGAUUAGGAGGGAAGUAGGAGGGAGAGAAGAGUAGGAGGGGAGAAGAAGAGUAGAAGGGAGCGAAGAAGAGUAGGAGGGAGAGAAGAAGAGUAGAAGGGAAGAAGAGUAGGAGGGAGGGAAGAAGUGUAGGAGGGAAGAAGAGUAGGAGGGUGAGAAGAUGAGUAGUAGGGAGAGAAGAAGAGUAGGAGGGAAAGAAGAAGAGUAGGAGGGAAGUAGGAGGGAGAGAAGAAGAGUAGGAGGGGGAGAAGAAGAGUAGAAGGGAGGGAAGAAAAGUAGGAGGGAGAGAAGAAGUGUAAGAGGAAUGAAGAGUAGGAGGGAGAGAAGAGGAGUAGGAGGGGGAGAAGAAGAGUAGGAGGGAGUGAAGAAGAGUAGGAGGGAUUGAAGAAGAGUAGGAGGGAAGUAGGAGGGAGAGAAGAAUAGUAGGAGGGGCAGAAGAAGAGUAGGAGGGAGGGAAGUAGAGUAGGAUGGAGAGAAGAAGAGGAGAGAGUUCUUCUUAGGGAUAGAUUCUAUCAGAUCUGCGCUAGCAGACAUCCUCAUAGCGGUUGUUUUGGCGGCGGCAGAGGUGGAAUGCAUUAGAACUGUCAAAUCCACAAGCGGCUCCCAGAUUUAUACCUAAAGUGGACAUUGCAAUUGGCUGCACAGAGUCACAUUAAGGGAAAUUUCGAACAUUGGAGUUUGAGAUCUAAUCUACACCUCGGUUAGUCUAAUAUAAAUCUUCAUGACAUAAUUGAAUGAUUUUUUUAGUUUCAGUGUAAUUAUUUCUAUAUAGCCUAUACUUUAUUGUUCUGAACUUCAUGACAAUGAUCACAUGAGCUGCUGCUCACCGAUUUAUGAGUAGUUACACCUCCGACACCGCCAAAACAUCAGCUAUGUGGGUGUCGGCUAUUGCCGCUUUACACUUGAUCUAAUUUAAUCUAGGCCUUAGUUGCCUGGUCCAAUAGCUGUUUGUGCUCUCUUGCACAAACAGAUCUGAGACCAGGCUACAAAAUAGUCACAGCAAAGACCAUAGGAACUGGAGAGACAGCACAAACAGAUCUGAGACCAGGCUACAAAAGAGUGAUAGCAAGGACCAUAGGAACUGGAGAGACCGCACAAACAGAUCUGAGACCAGACAAUCUCCUUAGCGAUGGAGGAUAGUAAGUCUCUUUAGCGAUGUAAAGUUUUGAGAGAGUCUUUGAGCUGUUUGGUGAAGGAGGCGUGGAGGGUCUGAGACAAGGUAUCCAGCCCCUUGGCGAUGUCUGCUGCUGCCUGGAAGAGGCCCUCAAACGUUAGGGACUCCUCUUUGAUUCUGUCAUGAAAGGAGACAAGACAAACAGGGUUAGCAGGGAGAGAGGGGAGGAUGGAGGGAGGGAGUGAAGAAGGGAGGGAGGGAGAGAGCGGAGGAGGGAG
Molecule: long non-coding RNA, 2345 nt
Filed under: Salmo salar (Atlantic salmon)
Lineage: Eukaryota; Metazoa; Chordata; Actinopteri; Salmoniformes; Salmonidae
Description: lncRNA (ENSSSAG00000110605.1, ENSSSAG00000120209.1)
Source: RNAcentral